This 189-nucleotide ribosomal RNA is filed under the name uncultured bacterium. RNAcentral describes it as "partial 16S ribosomal RNA". It matches the Rfam family "Bacterial small subunit ribosomal RNA", at positions 340 to 521 of the family's 1533-position model. The record is from RNAcentral.
UACGGGAGGCAGCAGUAGGGAAUCUUCCACAAUGGGCGAAAGCCUGAUGGAGCAACGCCGCGUGUGAGAUGAAGGGUUUCGGCUCGUAAAACACUGUUGUAAGAGAAGAAUGACAUUGAGAGUAACUGUUCAAUGUGUGACGGUAUCUUACCAGAAAGGAACGGCUAAAUACGUGCCAGCAGCCGCGGU